Molecule: transfer-messenger RNA, 389 nt
Filed under: Patescibacteria group
Lineage: Bacteria
Also listed under: 1 other name
Description: UBA12049 sp001784155 Standard tmRNA
Rfam family: transfer-messenger RNA
About the family: Bacterial tmRNA, also known as 10Sa RNA or SsrA, is named for its dual tRNA and mRNA-like properties.
Source: RNAcentral
GGGGAUGCAUUGCAUCGACAAGAUUCGCACUUUAAAAACUGCAAGCCGUCGUUGAUUAUAAAGACGUAAAGCUUAAUCAAAAAUUAAAUGCUAACGCAUUUACAGCUAUGAGGGAGUAUCUCUCUCCUAGCGCUCGUCCAGCUUUGGCACUAGCUGCUUAAGCUUAAGAGCUGUUCUUAAUAUCUUUUCUCAGUGAGAUAUUCUGAGCAUAAACUUAGCUGAGAAAACUGUAGGGAAACUGGUUAGUGCCUUAUUGUAAUUAUAACCUCGGCUCUAUUCAUGGAUGUUUAUUUUCAAAGAAUAGAGUGAUCAAAAAAAUAAUAAACUAAGCUUGUAGAGGUUUAAAAAUGUUUUCUUGGACUCGGGAUCACAUCCCGACAUCUCCACAU